ACUCAAAGGAAUAGACGGGGGCCCGCACAAGCAGUGGAUUAUGUGGUUUAAUUCGACGCAACGCGAAGAACCUUACCAGGUCUUGACAUACCCUGAAUAGCAUGGAGACAUGUGAAGCCCUUCGGGGCAGGGAUACAGGUGGUGCAUGGUUGUCGUCAGCUCGUGUCGUGAGAUGUUGGGUUAAGUCCCGCAACGAGCGCAACCCUUACUAUUAGUUGCUACGGAAGAGCACUCUAAUGGGACUGCCGUUGACAAAACGGAGGAAGGUGGGGAUGAUGUCAAAUCAUCAUGCCCUUUAUGACCUGGGCUACACACGUAAUACAAUGGCACUUAACAGAGGGAAGCGACGCCGCGAGGCAGAGCAAAACCCCAAAAAGUGUCUCAGUUCGGAUUGCAGGCUGCAACUCGCCUGCAUGAAGUCGGAAUUGCUAGUAAUCGUGGAUCAUCAAGCCACGGUGAAUACGUUCCCGGGCCUUGUACACACCGCCCGU
Molecule: ribosomal RNA, 491 nt
Filed under: uncultured bacterium
Lineage: Bacteria
Description: bacterial SSU rRNA
Rfam family: Bacterial small subunit ribosomal RNA
Source: RNAcentral